RNAcentral lists this long non-coding RNA (390 nucleotides) under Bos taurus (domestic cattle). RNAcentral describes it as "long non-coding RNA NONBTAT014042". Lineage: Eukaryota; Metazoa; Chordata; Mammalia; Artiodactyla; Bovidae. The record is from RNAcentral.
ACAACCUUGAAAUAAGUAUAAAAUUACCUACCAAGUUACCUACUUUAUCAAUGCUCCUAUAUUGGCCAAUAAAUCAUUAUAAAACUAAGUCAUAACUAAAUGAAAUAUAAAUACGGUAACAAGCACUGGCUGGCUUUAGCCACUUCUUAAAAGUUAGUUCAAAAGCAUCUGGAACAAGUACAGCUCAACAUACCUAUAAACAGCACUGUGGUAAGUUUUCUAGGAACAUUUAAACAUGAACUGGCAGGAAAAAAGUUCCUCUGCCAAAUAACUAACUAUAACAGGUAAAGAUUAUGAUGGUGAUUAAAACUUAUAUUCUUUAAGUCUUAGUGAGAAAAUGCUGCCCAAGAAGUGAGGACACAAACUAAGUUUCUAAAGAUAAUGAACUAA